Molecule: unclassified non-coding RNA, 202 nt
Filed under: Hevea brasiliensis (rubber tree)
Lineage: Eukaryota; Viridiplantae; Streptophyta; Magnoliopsida; Malpighiales; Euphorbiaceae
Source: RNAcentral
AAAUAGAUUAAAUUUAAAGUAGUUUAGGUGUAAAGGAGGGUGUUGGAAGGUUAGAGAAGAUUUGUAGUAAUUAUUUGAGAGAUUUAAUAUUAAUAUAAAGGGGUUUUUUAAAUGUUAAUAGAAAUAACAGUUUAGAUAGAGAAUUUGUAUAAUUUUUGGUAUUUGCGUUUUGUUUGGUUUAAGUGGAGGUAGAUUAUUGAAU